AUGAUGGCGGCGCAGAUGAAGGCCUUCUUUGACUCCACCGGCGGCCUCUGGCAGGCGCAGUCCCUCGCCGGCAAGCCCGCGGGCGUCUUCUUCGCCACAGGCACCCAGGGCGGCGGACAGGAGACCACAGCUCUCACGGCCGUGACGCAGCUGACGCACCACGGCAUGCUGUUCGUGCCCGUCGGAUACACGCACGGCGCGGGCAUGUUCUGCAUGGACGAGGUCAAGGGCGGCAGCCCGUACGGAGCUGGCACCUUCGCCGGCGCCGAUGGCAGCAGGGUACCCAGCGACGCCGAGCUCGCCUUGGCGGCGCACCAGGGGAAGUACUUCUCUGGCGUCACCAAGAAGCUCAAGGCCGUCUGA
RNAcentral lists this ribosomal RNA (363 nucleotides) under Triticum aestivum (bread wheat). Its description in RNAcentral is "partial small subunit ribosomal RNA". Lineage: Eukaryota; Viridiplantae; Streptophyta; Magnoliopsida; Poales; Poaceae. The record is from RNAcentral.